This 685-nucleotide unclassified non-coding RNA is filed under the name Cotesia glomerata. Its description in RNAcentral is "high affinity copper uptake protein 1-like, transcript variant X4". Lineage: Eukaryota; Metazoa; Arthropoda; Insecta; Hymenoptera; Braconidae. The record is from RNAcentral.
UUCAUUCACGCUCUUACUCACGGGGGUUUAUUUGUGUCACGCAUUUCUGGUAAAUAUGUGCUGCCAUCUUCUGACAUACGCUUAAGCCAGAUUUCAACCCUUAGAAUUAUAGUUGGAGAUAAUCAGUCUUCUUUAGAAAGUCAUCAAGAGCAGAAAAAAUAAUUUAUAUUUCCAAAAAAAAAAUAAUGGAAAAUCCUAGCACUGAAAAUAUUUGCUGUCAAAGUGUCUUCAGUGAUAUAAACAACAUAAAUAACAAUAAUAUUUCUCUAAAAGAUAUUAUUUUCGGCUGGGACACAUUUAACGCCCGAGUAUUUAUUUUUUUUAUUAUUUCCUUUGUAAUUUGGUCUGUAGUUUUUUUCCUCCUUUAUAAUCCCGAAAUAAUUGACCACAGUGAUCACGGACACGGAAUGAUGGAUCAUGAAGUUCAUUUAAUGUCAGGACACUAAGGAAAUUAAGCAGCACGGAACAGACGAUCGAUUUGCAAGCAUCCGGACAUACUUUAACUAACAAAAUGGACACGAAGCUAUUAAUUGACACACGUGAUCGUUAAUCAGUGUCACCGCCAGGAAUUUGACCUCAUUUCGGGGAAAUAAAUCAACGCUAAAGGAUCUGGUGGACAUUUAACGUUAAAAAUGUAAAUAAACAUGUAAAAAAUUAAAAAAGAAAUUAAUUGUAAUUGUAAAUU